RNAcentral lists this ribosomal RNA (428 nucleotides) under Acidobacteriota bacterium. RNAcentral describes it as "Acidobacteria bacterium partial 16S ribosomal RNA". It matches the Rfam family "Bacterial small subunit ribosomal RNA", at positions 355 to 776 of the family's 1533-position model. The record is from RNAcentral. Lineage: Bacteria; Pseudomonadati; Acidobacteriota.
UAGGGAAUUUUCGUCAAUGGGGGAAACCCUGAACGAGCAAUGCCGCGUGAGUGAAGAAGGUCUUCGGAUCGUAAAGCUCUGUUGUAAGUGAAGAACGGCUCAUAGAGGAAAUGCUAUGGGAGUGACGGUAGCUUACCAGAAAGCCACGGCUAACUACGUGCCAGCAGCCGCGGUAAUACGUAGGUGGCUAGCGUUAUCCGGAAUCAUUGGGCGUAAAGGGUGCGUAGGUGGCGUACUAAGUCUGUAGUAAAAGGCAAUGGCUCAACCAUUGUAAGCUAUGGAAACUGGUAUGCUGGAGUGAAGAAGAGGGCGAGGGAAUGCCAGGUGUAGCGGUAAAAUGCGUAGAUAUAUGGAGGAACACCAGUGGCGAAGGCGGUCGCCUGGUCUGUAACUGACACUGAGGCACGAAAGCGUGGGGAGCAAAUAGG